This 621-nucleotide ribosomal RNA is filed under the name Triticum aestivum (bread wheat). RNAcentral describes it as "partial small subunit ribosomal RNA". The record is from RNAcentral. Lineage: Eukaryota; Viridiplantae; Streptophyta; Magnoliopsida; Poales; Poaceae.
AUGAACAAGAUCAAGGUGCACCCCAACGUCGCUGCUGCUUCUCUGGCACUACCAGCGGCGGAGGAGAAGGGAGAGGCGGUGUCGCUCACCGUGUGGCGCCGGUCGCUGCUGUUCAACGGCAAGGGGUUCACCGUGUUUGACACCAACGGCAACCUCGUGUACCGCGUCGAGACGCACUCCCGCGGCUCGCCCCGCGAGGUCGUCCUCAUGGACGCCCACGGCGUUGCUCUCCUCACCGUCCGCCGCAAGAAGCUGAGUCUGGCGGAGGAGUGGCUCGUCUACGACGGCGACGGCGACGAGCCGGCGCCGAGGCGGUUCACGGCGCGGCGGAACAGGAGCCUGCUCCGGACCAAGUCCCUCGCUCGCCUGUCGCCGCCGCGAUCGUUGGACGGCACUGGGGAUGCGCCUGGCUGCCGGUACGAUGUGGAGGGCUCGUACGCCGGCCGCAGCCUCGACAUGUUAGCCUGCACCGGCGGCAAUCAGCGGCAGCGCGUGGCCACGGUGUGCCGGAAGGAGGCCGCCGUGGGCCUGGACGUGUUCCGGCUGGUGGUGGAGCCAGACUUCGAGCCGGCGCUGGCCAUGGCCGUGGUCAUACUCCUGGAUCAGAUGAACACAUCCUAA